RNAcentral lists this long non-coding RNA (1335 nucleotides) under Oreochromis niloticus (Nile tilapia). Its description in RNAcentral is "lncRNA (ENSONIG00000025490.2)". The record is from RNAcentral. Lineage: Eukaryota; Metazoa; Chordata; Actinopteri; Cichliformes; Cichlidae.
AUGUUUUGUCCAUAUUGUGGCCAUAACGUGGGAGAAGUUUUCAAGUUCUGCGGUUCAUGUGGCAAACAUAUUGAGUUUUUGGCGUUUGUCGACAACAGGUCAAUUCAAGAAAACAUUUCCAUCGAAGACCUCAUUCAGAAAUAUUUCAGAGACGGUUACUCCUUUAAUGAAACUUUGGACAUUCUGGCCUCAAAACAUAAACAGAAGAUCAGUCUGACCACACUUAAAUGUAGAAUAAGAAGUUUAUCACUGUCCCGCAAAAAACAUUACUCACCUCAGGCCUUGAUUCGUGCUGCAAUAAUAGAAGAGCUGAAGGGACCUGGUCAACAUUAUGGAUACCGUUCAAUGUGGCAGACACUGCGUCAGAAACACCAUCUUUCUGUGAAAAGGCAUGAUGUCAUGGUGAUGAUGGCAGAGCUCAACCCAUCUGGAGUCCAAAAGCGCUCAAGGAAAAAGUUUGUACGAAGAGUUUAUGAUUCACCUGGACCAAACCACACUUGGCAUGUUGAUGGAUAUGACAAAUUAAAGCCAUAUGGUUUGGCUAUCAGUGGUUGUAUUGAUGGCUAUUCACGGAAGGUAUUAUGGUUGGUUUGCGGAGCAACUAGCAGCAACCCAGAAGUCAUAGCUCAACACUACGUUCAGUGUGCUCCAGAGUUUGGAGUCAUACCAGUGCGACUUCACACAGACUGCGGCACUGAAAAUGGGACGAUGGCAGCAAUGCAUUGUGCCUUAUGGUCAUCUCAUCAAGAUUUUUUUGCAGGAGCUGCCAGUCAUAUGUAUGGAUCUUCAACAACAAAUCAAAGAAUUGAAAGCUGGUGGUCGUACUUCAGAAAACAGCGGUAGGUUCUAAAAUUUUUCAAGAAACAACUAUAUUAACCAGAUAAAAGUGUAGCUGUAAUAUAUAGUCUGUGAUGCAGAAGCCUUGCUGUGUAUCACACCACCUUUCCUUUAUAACUUCAAUGUGUAGCCAUUAUGUUACAUACAAGUAUAAGAUAGAAAAUAUAAACUGUAAUAGUCAAUAAAGAAAGUAAGAUGAAUAGAAAUCCAAAAUGCACGCACUUUACAUCAACUCAAGAAACAAUUUCAUAAACGUAAGAAAUAGUGAGGCUUUGAAGGCUGGUGAUUUGUGAGCUGAUGGUAUGUAUUUGUCUCUUUUAGAACACAGUUCUGGAUGGACCUUUUGAGUGACAUGAAGGAAAUGCACCUCUUCAAUGGUAGUCAUGAACACAUGUGCUUGGUGCGCUUCAUUUUCAUGGCUGUGCUUCAGAGGGAUCUGGAUGAAUGCAAAAGAAAGGUCGUGUCCAAAUUCAUGGGCUGCAUCCUCCUGAGGACCCA